GGGGAUGUAGCUCAGGUGGGAGAGCGGUACGUUCGCAACGUACAGGUCGGGGGUUCGAAUCCCCUCAUCUCCA
This 73-nucleotide transfer RNA is filed under the name Desulfobacteraceae bacterium. RNAcentral describes it as "tRNA-Ala". It matches the Rfam family "tRNA". From Rfam's summary of the family: Transfer RNA (tRNA) molecules are approximately 80 nucleotides in length. Their secondary structure includes four short double-helical elements and three loops (D, anti-codon, and T loops). Lineage: Bacteria; Pseudomonadati; Thermodesulfobacteriota; Desulfobacteria; Desulfobacterales; Desulfobacteraceae. The record is from RNAcentral.